This 69-nucleotide transfer RNA is filed under the name Urocitellus parryii (Arctic ground squirrel). RNAcentral's name for it is "Spermophilus parryii (Arctic ground squirrel) tRNA". It matches the Rfam family "tRNA". Rfam says of the family: Transfer RNA (tRNA) molecules are approximately 80 nucleotides in length. Their secondary structure includes four short double-helical elements and three loops (D, anti-codon, and T loops). RNAcentral also lists the same sequence under 2 other names. The record is from Rfam by way of RNAcentral. Lineage: Eukaryota; Metazoa; Chordata; Mammalia; Rodentia; Sciuridae.
GGGGUUGUGGCUCAGCGGUAGAGCGCUCACCUUGCAUAUGAGAGGCGCUGGGCUCAAUCCUCAGCACCA